CAGAUACAGCAGGACGCCUCCAGGUUUUGGUGGGCUCACUCAAUGGUGUAGAAAUAACCCUAGCGUCCCUUUAUGCCCCUAACGACGGCCAACUCCCAUUCUUACGCAAUGCACUUAACAAGAUAGAUUCAAUGAAACGAGGACAGGUCAUAAUCUGUGGGGACUUCAAUUGCAGCCUCGACCCCAAUUUGGACAUAAAACGGGUGAAUAAUAAGAAAGCGUCCACCUACGCAUAUCAUAAUGGCAAAACCUUGUCCGACAUUAUGUUCAAACUAGACCUGUAUGACGCUUGGCGUAACAUUUAUCCAACAGGCAGAGACUAUACAUAUUUCUCACCAAUUCACUCAACCUACUCACGCAUUGAUCUAACACUGGUAGACAAACUAACCUUAACAAACAUAACUGAAGUAGAUAUAGGGCUGCGGACGUGGUCAGACCAUGCCCCGGUAACGAUUACCCUCAGCAGCCUAUACCCAAUCCGCGGGAGAGGAAAAUGGAGACUUAAUGAAAGUCUUCUGGACGAUCCCACAGCGCUGCAAAAGAUCCUUGAAUCCGCAACCAAUUAUUUCAAAGAAAACAUG
Pelobates cultripes (western spadefoot toad) is the source of this 581-nucleotide non-coding RNA. The record is from the annotation of a GenBank genome assembly. NCBI's taxonomy places the organism in Eukaryota, Metazoa, Chordata, Amphibia, Anura, Pelobatidae.